UCUGCUAUUGUUAUAUAUUAUUUGCUAACAAGCAAAAUAAUGAUGGCUUGUCUAGAUCUUGUAUUAGUUUCGAGUGAGAUAAUUGUGUAAUUCAGAUUUAUUUCAGACUGUGAUGUAUACUUCUGUUCAGGGGCUGGAAUAGUCUGUUUUUCCUGUACUGCAUUUUUUUAUAAUCAAAUUUAGGACCAAUUUGGAUAAGUUUCUAGUUUAUGAAAGAGCUUUUUAAUAGAAAAAAGUAUUUCAUUUCUAACCCAUGAAACAGCCCGUAUAAGGUUAUAGGUAUUUGAAUAAGUUUCUAGUUUAUGAGAGAGCUUUUUAAUAGAAAAAAGUAUUUCAUUUCUAACCCAUGAAACAGCCCGUAUAAGGUUAUAGGUAUUUGAAUAAGUUUCUAGUUUAUGAGAGAGCUUUUUAAUAGAAAAAAGUAUUUCAUUUCUAACCCAUGAAACAGCCCGUAUAAGGUUAUAGGUGUUUGUGGAGAAAAUAAACGAGAGAGGUUUUGAAAAAAAAAAAGAGGUUAAAGUUUAUCUAAACUAGCUCUUAAUUAAGUCUUCUGUCCUCAUAUUCUAAUUCAAUUAUUUCCCUUUUUACAUUGCAAUAUAAUUUAUUGACAUUACUGCAUGCAUUGUUCUUUCAUAGUGUCAUACGAUAUUGUAGUUGCAUUUUUGUCUCCCUAUAAAAUGAUUCAAAACUGCUCUUUAGCGAAAUAUUGCCAUUACACAAUUUUCUCGAUACUUCAAGUAUUUGGUUUGGGUGAUUUUAUUUUACUC
Cicer arietinum (chickpea) is the source of this 767-nucleotide non-coding RNA. The record is from RefSeq and is a predicted model, not a curated record. Lineage: Eukaryota; Viridiplantae; Streptophyta; Magnoliopsida; Fabales; Fabaceae.